RNAcentral lists this ribosomal RNA (546 nucleotides) under uncultured bacterium. RNAcentral describes it as "partial 16S ribosomal RNA". It matches the Rfam family "Bacterial small subunit ribosomal RNA", at positions 355 to 893 of the family's 1533-position model. The record is from RNAcentral.
UGGGGAAUUUUGGACAAUGGGGGAAACCCUGAUCCAGCCAUCCCGCGUGUGCGAUGAAGGCCUUCGGGUUGUAAAGCACUUUUGGCAGGAAAGAAACGUCGCGGGUUAAUACCCCGCGAAACUGACGGUACCUGCAGAAUAAGCACCGGCUAACUACGUGCCAGCAGCCGCGGUAAUACGUAGGGUGCAAGCGUUAAUCGGAAUUACUGGGCGUAAAGCGUGCGCAGGCGGUUCGGAAAGAAAGAUGUGAAAUCCCAGAGCUUAACUUUGGAACUGCAUUUUUAACUACCGGGCUAGAGUGUGUCAGAGGGAGGUGGAAUUCCGCGUGUAGCAGUGAAAUGCGUAGAUAUGCGGAGGAACACCGAUGGCGAAGGCAGCCUCCUGGGAUAACACUGACGCUCAUGCACGAAAGCGUGGGGAGCAAACAGGAUUAGAUACCCUGGUAGUCCACGCCCUAAACGAUGUCAACUAGCUGUUGGGGGCCUUCGGGCCUUGGUAGCGCAGCUAACGCGUGAAGUUGACCGCCUGGGGAGUACGGUCGCAAGA